RNAcentral lists this ribosomal RNA (522 nucleotides) under uncultured bacterium. Its description in RNAcentral is "bacterial SSU rRNA". It matches the Rfam family "Bacterial small subunit ribosomal RNA", at positions 8 to 518 of the family's 1533-position model. The record is from RNAcentral.
AGAGUUUGAUUCUGGCUCAGGAUGAACGCUGGCGGCAGGCUUAAUACAUGCAAGUCGAGCGGUAAGGUCCGAAGUGGCAACACGGAGGAUACACGAGUGGCGCACGGGUGCGUAACGCGUAUGCAACCUGCCCCCGACCGGGACAAAACAGCUGGAAACGGCUGCUAAUAUCCCAUGGUCAUGCGGAAGGGCAUCCUUCUUCAUGUAAAGAUUCAUUGGUCGGGGAUGGGCAUGCGUAUUAUUAGGUAGUUGGCGGGGUAACGGCCCACCAAGCCGACGAUGAUUAGGGGUCCUGAGAGGGUUAACCCCCACACUGGAACUGAGACACGGUCCAGACUCCUACGGGAGGCAGCAGUAGGGAAUAUUGGGCAAUGGGAGCAAUCCUGACCCAGCCAUGCCGCCGUGAAGGAAGACGGCCCUAUGGGUUGUAAACUUCUUUUGCCGCAGAGUAAACCCGGUCACGAGUGGUCGGUUGAGAGUAUGCGGCGAAUAAGUAUCGGCUAACUCCGUGCCAGCCGCCGC